Molecule: ribosomal RNA, 113 nt
Filed under: uncultured eukaryote
Lineage: Eukaryota
Description: partial small subunit ribosomal RNA
Rfam family: Eukaryotic small subunit ribosomal RNA
Source: RNAcentral
UCGCUGCUACCGAUUGGAUGAUCCGGUGAAAUUCUCGGACUGUCGCGUGUUGUGCCGUUCGCGGCGCUCUCGCGAUGGGAAGUUACUUGAACCUUAUUAUCUAGAGGAAGCAA